This is a long non-coding RNA of Cornus florida, 9971 nucleotides long. RefSeq lists it as uncharacterized. The record is from RefSeq and is a predicted model, not a curated record. NCBI's taxonomy places the organism in Eukaryota, Viridiplantae, Streptophyta, Magnoliopsida, Cornales, Cornaceae. The transcript is spliced from 19 exons.
GCGAGUCCAUUAACAGUGACUUUGUGUGAGUGACUGUGUGAGAGAGUUGUGGCCAAUAAACUUGAGCAGCAGCGCGAGCUCCACGCGCGCGUUGAAGGAGAAGAAAUGGGACGAGCUGGUGAUCGGCGAGGGCCACAACGGGCCUCACCGCCACCGCCUACCUCGCUCCCUCUGGACUCUCCGUCGCCGUCCUCGACCGCCGCCCCCGAAGAUCUCAUCCCCGGUAUUGCGAAAAGAGACAUGGAUUGAAGUUAUUGAAACGGAGUCCUUCUAUCAUUCACGCCUUGUGUUGAUGUCCGGUAUCUUCUAUUGGGUCCUGAUAAAGAACUCAACCAUUCAAUGAUUUCAAAAUUAUCCAAACGGGACGAGAGGUUCAAUUCAACAUGUAUGUAUCUUAUGCAUUCUAAUUCUCUGCCCUUAGAGUAAAAAAAAAAAAAAAAUCAUUGUAGAAGCAACUACAAGCCUGGAGUCAGUGGAUUGGAAUUGAAAUUGAACGAAAAAUUAGUGUAAGAUACGAAUUCCAUGCUAUCAAAUUGAGUAUAGAUGUCCUGAGAAUCCUGCAAGUUUAAUUAUAUUUCCUAGGAACCCAGAAGAAGUACCAUUGAACACAUCAUCAUCAUCCUGGCCUUAAGCUCAUAUGAAUGAGGUCAGCCGCAUAAUUUCUCUUUUUCUGAAUAUGUAUGAACCAUGUAAUAAAUGGUUUCCUUAUGAUAGGGCAGCUUUUAAGUAUAUGUUGAUUGCAUCUUUCUCAAAAUGAGUUAUGAUAAUGUAUUUUAUUUUGUUUUAAUGUAAUAUAAACUAUUUGCAUUAGUUCUAGUCCAUAAUGUAGUUUUUCUUGCAAGGGAGAGCCAGAGACUUAUAUGACCAAUUGUUGUAUUUGCCGAAUCAAGCAAUGCAUCUAACAUAGAAUAUAGACAGAAGGAAACUCUAGAAGCUGGGAUCAAGUGUGUUCAGAAAGUGCACUAAUAUUUUUGAUUUGUUCCCGAGCUAUUCAGGAUAUAAUACCAUAAGGAGACAAGUGAAGGUAGUUGCCGGUGAUGUUUGUAGAUAAAAUUAUCAAAAGCUGCAAAUAUUAUGUGAUGUGCUGAUCAAUUGUAAUGAUUUCCUGAAUAUGUAAUUUAAGUUUCAAAGCCUACUUGAAGGAUUAUGAGAACAUUAGGACAAAUUAACCGAAUGGAAAAUAGCUGAAAAAUCAGCAUAUGUAAAGCAAUGGAAUAGAGAAGAAGUUUUGUUUAAAUGUUUUAGUUUUAUUUCAUAAGUGUAGAAUUGAUGACGUUUGAAUAUAAAUAUAAUGAAUAGUUUCACAUCAGCUCCUGAAUCUUGAUUUUCUUAUGAAUUAUGCUUACUACUCUAUUUAUUAUUUAUUUUAUGCAUUGUCUUUUAAUGCCAAGAUGAAAAAUAAGUUACAGAAAUCAGUUUUUUGGGCUCAUUGUCUGAGGUGGGCUCUUUCCUUGGGGCAAAAAAGAUAUGGUGUAAGAGGUUUUUAUUUUUAUUUCUCCAUAUUCCAAACUUGGGUCCUUUUAUCGUUAACAUGUUAAUUCUUUUGUUUCUUGUUGUUACUGCCAACCGGAAGCAGUGCACCAUAAACUAUGUACCUGCAUUGAUCAAGUCAAUACAAAUUCAUUAACUUUAGUAAUUUAUGAUUUUUUAGUGGUGAUCUCAUCCUUUCCUAACUUGUAUCAGUUGAUGUUUCAGGGACUCCUAUUGUCCCCAGCAUUGAAGGUUUUUUAUAAUUGGUUUGAGGUUAUUACGUGAUUUUAAUGCUCUUGUUAUUUAUCAUUUGACUUUAUGGACUGUUGUGCACAUAUAUCCAUAUAUAUAUAUAUACACACACAUAUAUUCCAGCAUCACAAUGGCAAAGAAGUGUCCAUUUUUUUCCUCAUUAGCUCAAGUUUACCUUUUUUCAUCCAAUCUUGUGUAAUCUCAUUCCAAAUUUUAUCUAAAAGUUGUUGGAAAUGUUUAAUUUGGAACAUUUAAUUUGAUCUUUUAAUGUUCCUUGGAAGGGUAAAAGAAUUAUUGGAAGGCAUCAUUUUACCUCUUGUUAUUUCUGUGUUGCAUCGCCUUGAAUCUUAUAUUUCUGAUCUUAUGUUAUAUUUCAAUGUAGGGAAUUUUUACAUGUCUAAAAGAGUUUCUUGUGUGUGUGUGUUCACUAAACUUGUGGGUUCAAUUGAUGAGUGUCCAUUUUACCAAUUUAUUAAUGUACUAUCAUUGAUGUGAAUAACUACAGGCUGAUGUUCUGAAGGCACCACUUGCCAUGAAUUCCGUAAUAGGGACCACGGUAGGAUUCUUAUUCAUUCUGUUGAAAUGCACUGGUUUUAGGGGUGUACAUAUUAGUGUGCAUGGUAUCAGGAUCAAGUUGUGACUAUAGUCUCAUAUGUUUAUCCGGAUGGAUUUGAGUUGCUGAGGUGAUCGCUAAUGAUCUCGUGGACUUUUUGUGGGACCAAGAUUUAAUGGUGACACAUUGAACAGGAGAAAUGAGCCAUCCAUUCAAGUAUGGGCUGUCUGAAUAUUUUCUUAAAAUACACUUGCUUUAGUUUGAUCUCUGUGUCAGGAAAAAUUCAUACGACUGCUAGUUGUGGAAUUUUGUUUUUCUCAGUUUGUUGUUUUAUCCUUUUGUUUGGCAGAGAAGACAACUAGUUUUGGAGGAAAAUUCUAGUGCAAAACUUUUUGAGAUGAUCUUAUUUUUAUGUUGGGGACUUUUGCAACGAGAAUUUCAGUCUAUUUUCCCUCUCUUUUUUAGUCCUUGCCUAGCAAAAUGAUAUGCUAUAUUUAACAUAUCAAUUUUGUACCUUUUCAUUUCACCCAAAUGAUAAUGGGAUUGGUUCAAAUAAAAUUAGAAAAAAAUGUAAUUACCAAUACACGAUAAAUGUGAUGGUAAUCACCUAGAUCAUGUAUUAUCCGCUGCUACUCUCUUAGGGGAGGUGUAGUUAGGGCUCAAGUCCCAAUAUUUUCUAUAUCAUUUUUGAAUGAUCAAAAUCCAUUCGUGUGAAGUUAGAUGGUAUUUGAUUUGAGGUCCAGUAGUCAAGCUUUGGACAAUAAGGAAAGGGCGAUCCAUUUAGACUAGUUAUUGGCCUUGUUAUGAUAGUUAGUUUGGGGCCUAAACCAAUUGCAUUCAACAUUCUAUAUAUUUUAAAACUAGUCCGUGUCAUAAAUAGUGCCUUAGUUUAUAUUGAUGGUCUCAGACCCGGAAAAGGAGGAGGGUUACAUAAGGUAGCUUGACAACUAGUUUAAACUCUUUGCACCAGUGUGAACAUGAAUCCUAAGAGUAGAAUGGAAAAAUAGGAUUCAUGUAACCAAUCCUAAGUAAUUGGGAAAAAGUUUUGUUUGUUGUUGUUGCUAUAGUGAAUUUUAAAUGGAAAAAUAGGAUCCAUGUAACCAAUCCUUAAGUAAUUGGGAAAAAGUUUUGUUUGUUGUUGUUGUUAUAGUGAAUUUUAAAACUUCAUAAUCUAAAAAUUCUUCUCUCGUUACACUUUUAUUUUAAUAUUUUAAUAUUUGAAUUUUGUUUUUUGUUUUAAUUUUUGUUAUUAUGGAAACGUGUAUCCCCUAAUACUCUCUUUUUCAUGUAUGCACACUAAGGAAAGAUCAAAACUAUGGUAUUGUUCAAUUCCUAUGUGAUAUAUGUCAUUUGGACCUUCCAGUUGUUUGUUUUGUACAUUGGGUGAGUAUUAAUGGGUAUCAAGUAACACAUUAGGCAGUACCUGAGCCCUUCUGUUUGAAAUAUACACUUGUACAAAUUGGUUAUAUCUUCGUAUGUGACCUGUCCAUGCCAAAAAAAAAAAAAAAAAAAAAAAAAAAACCCCAAUUAGUUAGGUAUAUUUGUGUAAUCUACAAAUUUGUACUCUUAAAGACUUUUUGAGAAGCUAAGCAUUAUAAUUUAAAUCUUAUUCUUGCCACCAUCUUCCACUUUUCACCUUUUUCCUAUCUUAUUCAUAAGGCUGGGGUGGACAUUCAUAAACAAAAAUGUUACUGUCUGAAGAUUUAACUCUAAAUAUCUGUCACAGGGCUCAUUAGACUUUGAUUGAAGUUUGGCAUUUCUACAAAUUUACAGAAAUAAUAAGCCAGUUGUCCUCAAUUGUGUGGUAGGGGAAUGUCAAUACUCCUGGGAGUGGAUAUAUUAUGCUACAUCAUGUGAUGGGACAAACUGAUGGUGAUUGUGGGAUAUGGUCAUAUGUAUCUUAGCUGCGGACUUGAUGUUGAGUAUUUUUGUUUUAUAAUGUACGUAACUGACUUAGCUGCCUGUUAAAUGCUGGUAUUUUGGGAGAAUAAAUUUGGAUCUUUGGUGAAGUUUUGAUAUUUAAUUGGCAUGUGAACUUGUGUGCUAUCACAUAUCUCAAACAAACAAGUGACAUUAUUCUCAAUGUUUCCCUACAAUUUUCCAAGGAGGGGCACAUUGCUUUGGUUCUCGAAUAACUCUCUCUGUAUAUAUAUAUAGAUAAAGAUAUAUGUAUACACCAUAUAAAUAUUGGAGUUUGCUUUGAGUUUUCUAUUUGCAAAUAUUUAUGAUGACCUUUUUAAAUUUCCUGGUUAAAUUUGUACAUUUCCCAAUGUUUGCAACUCCAUUCUGUGGUUCCUGGCGCAACGGAUUAUAUUGUGAGUUAUGUAAUUUGCAAGGUCUCUUUAACAAUCUCAACAUUUAAGUCUUCACUUAGGAUCCAUGAUAUAGACUAUGCUUUCAUUGAGUCUGUAUAGUUUGUGUUCAUUUCUUAUGUGAUGCAAAAUUAGUUAUCACUUCUGCAAAUGUACAUUCGGCUUAAAACUGUAUUAGUUUGAAAUGUUGAUCUGGAUCGCUGUUAGCUAUGGUUGAGAAGCAUUUUCGAGUGUGUUCUAUUACAUUUUACACUUUUGCAUAGACAACAUGCAUACUUGCGAUGUGCUUGGUAUCUUUGGCUAUUAGUAAUUCUGCUAGGGAAGCUGGAGCUCAUAUUGUAAUCAUUGCUGAGGGGUGCUUGGUUAGAAGGUACUCUUUUAAGCUUCAUGAUGCAAAUUCAUCUUUAUUGUUCACAUUUUGGCAUAUCAUGUUGUGCAUCAAUUUUGAAAUUUUAAUUUCAACUGCAAUAAAUCAGAAAGAAUGAAACUUGUUUGAUAAAGCGGAAGGUUGGUAGUGGAGAUUCUGACGGGUAAAAGUGGCAAGAAACCACACAUUUUUUAUUGUUUUGUUGUGAUUAAAAGUUUAAAAACUUUUCUAAUUGUAGAAAUUCUGAAGCAUGUUUGUUUUCAUAAUCGCAUUCCUGGUUUGAUUAUGCAAGGGUGUCGUGGCUCAGUCAAAUUUCCUUCUUAUGGAGCUUGGGUACUGUGGUCAUCUAACUUAUCACUUCUGUGAUAAUAAAGCAAUUUACAGCACAUAUUUGACCUUCAAAUUGGUACUUCUUGCCCCUUGCUGAAAACCAAUUUGUAUAAAUUUAAGCGAAUGACCAGGUGAUCUUGGGUACCAAUAGCAUUUGCUAAGUUCAGUCACUUCCUAGUCGAGCAAGCUAGAGCUUAGUGAAUGUUCCUGGUAGAGCAAUGUAGAGCUUAGUGAACAUUCCUAGUAGAGCAAGCUAGAGCUUAGCGAAUGUUGGGCUUUCUAAUUAGAAAGUGCCGCCAGAUUGAGCAAUUUGGGCAAGAGGGCUUGACCGUCAAGAGUCUUCUUUUUUCUUUUUGGCCAAAAAAUUUGGAUUGACGUGAAUGGAGGAACUGAACUAGCAUACAAUUUUGGGGGGUGAACUAAUAAUUAUUUCUUCAGAGGGAGCAUGGUAAGCUUUCCACUACAAGAAAAACUGCCUAUAGAGCUACAGUCCCUUUUAUUUCUCUCUCUCCUCCCCUGAAAUGUGCACAGAUCACUCUCUCUCUCAUCACAUGGUUCCAAAUAUCGUGUUUUUAUUCUGACCACAUUUCUCUCACUGUCGAUCCUUCUUCAAACUGCUUGCGCACGAUCCUUCUCUCUAAUCUGAUCAAGCGAUUUGUUGACCUAACCUUCCAAAAAAUUGAUUUCACUUUGUCUCUCACUAUCGAUCCUACUCCCUCUCCUACACUCCUACAUGAACACGGUCUCACUAUCAAUCCUUCUCUCUCCAACACGAACACGGUAGAUCUGUGACGCCAAAAACCCUAGCUCGAAGUACAAUCUUAGUAAGCAUUCUCUGUAAUUUAGCGUUUUUUUUUCAUUGUUUCAGAUAAAAACGUGAAUUCUACGUAUUCUGUGCUUCUUCACUAAACAAAAGCCCUAACUCGAACCAAAGGAAGUUUGGGGUUUUUGUUCUUCGUUUGAUCGUUUCCUUCUUUCUUUCUUUCUUUUCUUUUUUUUUUUUUUCAUUGUUUUCUUCAUGUUGUAUAUUGAAAUGUUUGCUCUGUGUGUGAUUUUGUUCUCAAUUUUGUUCAUAUUUGUGAUUAGGUGAAGGGACUGCAUAAUGUGUUCGCUCUAUUGGGAGAUAGAUCGGCCAGGGGCUCUGUGAUUUUAGCUCAUUUGAACCAGCAGGACUCUUGUUACCCGUCAUCUCAAUGGGUGGGUUACCAGCUGACCUAAAUUACGUCAAACACCCUAUGUAUCCAGGGCCACAGGAUGCACCCCAGAGGCUAUAUCUAAGAAUUCUUUGAAUAGGAAGGGAUGUGGUUCAUCGUCAGAUAAAGGACUUGAUGCAAAGGUGAAGGGACUGCAUAAUGCGUUUGCUUGAUUGGGAGAUAGAUCGGCCAUGGGCUCUGUGAUUCUAGCUCCAUGGAACCAGGACUAUUACCAGUCAGCUCAAUAAAACGACUUUAAUCAGAAUUCUGAAGCGAGUCUUGAAGUGGGAUGGUAUGUUCUUGGCGAAGGUCAGCAGAAUGUUGACCCCUAUGAUUUUUCUAAGUUGCAUGGGAACUACUAAAAUGAACUUAGCUGUUGAUGCAUUGCCUCCAUUUCGGUGUUGCAAAUUGAGACAUCCUGAUGUUGGUCCUCAACUUGUUGGUACAAUUCACAUUGGCUCGGAGAGGACGUGGUAUGAAAGGCAAGCUUAAUAAUCUUCAAUUUCGGAAGAACUGAAUCCGCCCUGAUCUCUUAGAGUCAGCCUUUGAUGGCUCUUGUAUGCUUUUUGCAAUAUCAAUUAGAUCUAAAAUAUAAUGGGUUCUCUAUAAUUUUAUGCAAUUUUUUUCUUUCUUGAUUUCUUUACAGCCUCUACCCAUCUGUAUAGCAGAUAGUUGAACAGUGCGGCAAAUUUCACUUGCUGGACAGAUGGCUGGCAAAGUUAUUUCCUUGGAAGCACAAAGUUCUAAUCUUCUGGCGUAGACUAAGUUUAGAUAUACUUGAUUACGACUUCAGUGAAAAGGGAUUUGAGGUUUGUAGAAUUGGUGGUAGUGUGAAAUUGUCUGAAAGAAAAAGACAGUUUACAAAAUUUGCCAGAAUAUAUGCUCUUCAGUUUGGUAAGCCCCACUGGGCUGAUCAUUGAGAUCAAGGAGUUCAAUGACUAGAACAGUAACUACGGAAUCUCGUCGGCACUAGGGCUGGUGGGCUGGGUAACAAUCUUACUGCAGCUGAUACCUGCAUUUUAUACUAUAGUGAUCGGUUGCAUCCCAAAAUCCCCGAAUGGAUUUACAUGCUAUGGAUUGAUGUCACAGAAUAGGUCAAACAAAGCUCGUUCAUGUUUACAGGCUGGCAACAACUCAAAUCUGUAGAGGUCCUUUAUGAUUGGCUUUGUUCUUUUGUUUUAUGUAAUGCAAUUUGCUAUUCUACUUGUAAUGGGAAGAAGCUGUAUAACGCUAUCAGGGUCGAAUUCUGAAAAGAGCUUGCAGUUAGUUAAGGCUUGAGCAUGUCGUGAUUGGGAAAGGGCAGUUUCAGCAAGAAAGAACCACAUCCAACAGUACAGAUAUUACGGAGGUCAAGGAGUUCAAUGAUUCGAAUAGCAAAUUACAUAAUAUUUCUCCUCAGCACCUGGGCUGGUGGGCUUGGUAUCAAUCUAACUGCUGGUGAUACGGUGAUACCUGCAUUUUAUAUGAUAGUGACUGGAAUCCCCAAAUGGAUUUACAAGCAGUGGAUCAGUGUCACAGAAAUGGUCAAACAAAGCCAUUCAUGUUUACAGGCUGGCAACAGCUCAAUCUGUAGAGGGUUGAAUUCUGAAAAGAGCUUUCAGUAAGUUAAAGCUUGAGCAUGUCGUGAUUGGGAAAGGGCAGUUUCAGCGAGAAAGAACCACGUCUAAAAGUACAGAUCUUACAGAGGAGGGCCUUCUGGCACUGCUCCGAGAUGAAGAAGAUCCUGAAGACAAGAUGAUACAAACGGAAAUCUCUGAUGAAGAAACCACAGUGAUCUGCUUGGUUUUACACCAAAUGAAGAGGGAGAACCAGACACGCCUUGAUGGGCCUGGUUGGGUGGUGGUGAUGCCAACUGCUUGUGGAGGCAUGCUCUCCAAUCUCAACAGCUGACAAACUGUUUUGGUGUCAUGCGGGAUUUGGUUAGGAGUCGGGCAGGAUUUUUCAGAGUGGCGAACACUGUAAAUCUGCGUCGUCAUUUUGGAUGUGACAUAUUUCUUAGGUUGCUAGAAUAUGCAGAGAGUCUUGGAGUUAAAUAUAUUUAGGUCAUUAUUCAUGUGCUUGAACUAAAUUGAGUUCUCCAAAGUGAGCCAAAACCAUGGAAGAUUUAACCCUUCCUCGUGAUUGUAGAUUAUACUUGUUCAAUGAGAGGAAAGGAUGGAGGAAUGUGGAGAAUUUUUUGGUUCACCUUAACUUCACCUCCUAUUUUUUAUAAAUCAUUAAAACCAUGGUCAAUUUGAAGGGAAUAAUAGUUGAUUUAGGUACCAACUUCACACACUCACAUAAAUUGAAUUCGAAAACUGUCAAAUUAGGUCCUUAAAUCAUUAAUACUCCAGUACAUUCCUAUUCUAGAGAUACCCAUUCCUCUGAAGCAAAAAGAUACAACAUGAUCAACUAAGCCUGAGAUGAAAAUACCGUGUGUUUUUGUCUUUGUAGCAAACUAGCUUGUGAAGACUAGCUUCUCCAGAUGCAGAAAUAACACCACUUCUACCACUUUGAGGUUGAUUUAUCAUUGAUGCAGAAACAACUCCUACACCACUACUAGUCUACUACUGCCACCGGAGCACGCCCUCCGUCGAACAGUAUGCCUUAUGACCUGCAGUUCAGUAGAGGUCCAAGAACCAGAUGGAUGAGAAUGGCCACUGAAGCCAGUAAUAUAGCGCCUCCUUGUUAAUUAACACACCUAAAGGAAACACAUAUUGGCACACACACGAGACACAUUGACAAGAAAUGACUUCCAAGCCCAUACAAUCAGAUGAGGAAAUCAGAAGCCCUGUAUUCAACUUAGUAUUAAACCCAUUGAUCAAUUAUCCACCAGAAUACUCAAAUGUUUCUUGGGUGAUAAAUUUUAUUAUAUUAAUUCUUAUGCUUUUUUUGGUUUUCACCACCAAACUGAGAAAGUAAAGAAAUUAAAACCCCUCACAGAUAAAUUUUCAUAUAAAUGGAGAAAAAAGAAAAAGACAAAAGAAAAAUUGAUGUUGCUUGGAAAUCUGAAGCAGUGACCAAUUAUACCCCGACCCAUAGUAUCAUUUCCAUUUUAGAGUUGUAGUCUAUCUAUAGAGGUUCAAUUUAUGACCCAAAAAAAAUUCUCAAAAUGAAAACGUGGAUGUUGCUCUAUUCCCGCCAACGCAACUGAAUCACGUUGCUUAUUCCCACUUCGUUCUCUCUUCACUCUCUCUCUAUAUAUUGCAAUCUCUCUCAUCACUCUCUCUCUGUUCAUUUUCUCAAUCUCUCUCUGUUCACUCCGUUCAACAAUGGCAGAUCAGUUUUCAGGUGGUAAAAGGGUUGUGCGGAAAUGGAUGAUUAAUAAAGUUGAAAGGGCUUCGGAAUCGGCAAGCGAAAUCAAUCCCGAACAGAAGAACGUCGAAAAGGAAGCAACUAUGGAGAAGCCGCCGGUGGUUGAGCAAAAGAUCGAGAACAUCACGCUGAAGAACGUCGGAAACGAAGCAACUCUGGAGAAGCCGCCGGUCGUUGAGCAGAAGAUUGAGAACAUCACG